GCGACGCAGGCCUGAUUCGAACAGACGCCUCCGAGGAGAAUAGAUUUCUAGUCUAUCGCAUUAGACCACUCUGCCACUGCGCC
Molecule: transfer RNA, 83 nt
Filed under: Fusarium acuminatum CS5907
Lineage: Eukaryota; Fungi; Ascomycota; Sordariomycetes; Hypocreales; Nectriaceae
Description: tRNA-Ser
Source: RNAcentral